Molecule: transfer RNA, 72 nt
Filed under: Anaerolineales bacterium
Lineage: Bacteria; Bacillati; Chloroflexota; Anaerolineae; Anaerolineales
Description: tRNA-His
Rfam family: tRNA
About the family: Transfer RNA (tRNA) molecules are approximately 80 nucleotides in length.
Source: RNAcentral
GUGGCUGUAGCUCAAUGGCAGAGCACUGGACUGUGGCUCCAGGUGUUGCGGGUUCAAGCCCCGUCAGCCACC